AGUGAACGCUGGCGGUAGGCCUAACACAUGCAAGUCGAACGGCAGCACAGGAGAGCUUGCUCUCUGGGUGGCGAGUGGCGGACGGGUGAGGAAUACAUCGGAAUCUACUUUUUCGUGGGGGAUAACGUAGGGAAACUUACGCUAAUACCGCAUACGACCUACGGGUGAAAGCAGGGGACCUUCGGGCCUUGCGCGAUUGAAUGAGCCGAUGUCGGAUUAGCUAGUUGGCGGGGUAAAGGCCCACCAAGGCGACGAUCCGUAGCUGGUCUGAGGGGAUGAUCAGCCACACUGGAACUAAGACACGGUCCAGACUCCUACGGGAGGCAGCAGUGGGGAAUAUUGGACAAUGGGCGCAAGCCUGAUCCAGCCAUACCGCGUGGGUGAAGAAGGCCUUCGGGUUGUAAAGCCCUCUUGUUGGGAAAGAAAUCCAGCUGGCUAAUACCCGGUUGGGAUGACGGUACCCAAAGAAUAAGCACCGGCUAACUUCGUGCCAGCAGCCGCCGUAA
Molecule: ribosomal RNA, 506 nt
Filed under: uncultured bacterium
Lineage: Bacteria
Description: partial 16S ribosomal RNA
Rfam family: Bacterial small subunit ribosomal RNA
Source: RNAcentral